Molecule: ribosomal RNA, 350 nt
Filed under: uncultured bacterium
Lineage: Bacteria
Description: bacterial SSU rRNA
Rfam family: Bacterial small subunit ribosomal RNA
Source: RNAcentral
UCGAGAAUUUUUCACAAUGGGGGAAACCCUGAUGGAGCGACGCCGCGUGGAGGAUGAAGGUUUUCGGAUUGUAAACUCCUGUCAUUAGAGAACAAGGCGCCGGUACUAACUGCACCGGCGUUGAUAGUAUCUGAAGAGGAAGAGACGGCUAACUCUGUGCCAGCAGCCGCGGUAAUACAGAGGUCUCAAGCGUUGUUCGGAUUCAUUGGGCGUAAAGGGUGCGUAGGUGGCGAUGUAAGUCGGAUGUGAAAUCUCCAGGCUCAACCUGGAAACUGCAUUCGAUACUGCGUUGCUUGAGGAUUGUAGAGGGCAUUGGAAUUCACGGUGUAGCAGUGAAAUGCGUAGAUAUC